CAGCAGCCGCGGGAAUACGUAGGGUGCAAGCGUUAAUCGGAAUUACUGGGCGUAAAGCGUGCGCAGGCGGUUCUAUAAGACAGAUGUGAAAUCCCCGGGCUCAACCUGGGAACUGCAUUUGUGACUGUAGAGCUGGAGUACGGCAGAGGGGGAUGGAAUUCCGCGUGUAGCAGUGAAAUGCGUAGAUAUGCGGAGGAACACCGAUGGCGAAGGCAAUCCCCUGGGCCUGUACUGACGCUCAUGCACGAAAGCGUGGGGAGCAAACAGGAUUAGAUACCCCAGUAGUCCCUGUCUCUUAUAC
This 301-nucleotide ribosomal RNA is filed under the name uncultured bacterium. RNAcentral's name for it is "partial 16S ribosomal RNA". It matches the Rfam family "Bacterial small subunit ribosomal RNA", at positions 509 to 807 of the family's 1533-position model. The record is from RNAcentral.